Apis cerana (Asiatic honeybee) is the source of this 821-nucleotide long non-coding RNA. RefSeq lists it as uncharacterized. NCBI's taxonomy places the organism in Eukaryota, Metazoa, Arthropoda, Insecta, Hymenoptera, Apidae. The record is from RefSeq and is a predicted model, not a curated record.
GCUCUACGAUGGAAUGCAAAACAUUAAUACCUCUGUUCUUACGUAAUGGAAUGUCUUCGAUUACUUAAAAGCUCGUGUCGCGGCAAAAAGCGGCUAUUGAAACGAUAAUGCAUUAUAUACUUUCUAGGUUAUGUAUGCAUCGGUAGUGGAUUAACAUUUUCAGUGAUGCUCAGAAACAGUGAUCGUAUAUAAUAAAUUUGAUGAUUCUUUUUAUUCAUCGAAAUAUUAUAUAAAAUAUAUGAAAGUGUAUAUUAAAUAUAUAUAUAUAUAUAUAUAUAUAUAUAUAUAUAGAAAAAAUAUUAAUUAGUGAAUUCAUUGUUGAAUUUAAAAAUUUUGAUUUUGAAACAUUUUCUAUUAAAAAUAAUAGAAUCAAUACUUAAAAAACAAGAUUUUAAUUAAAGUUACAUACGGUUUACCACCCGGAAUAUUGCUUAUUCCAUUAGCUGAUGGUAGGAUGGUCCUCACAUGACCGUCGAAGCCGAGCUGUAAUAGAGAAAAAAAUGUAUCAACGUUUGGUUAAACUUGUAAUUAAAUACAUCACUAGAAAGAGUACUUAUGUUGAAUAAAUUGAGAGAUAUAAAUUUAGAGAUAUAAUAUUCAACAAAGAUAUAUAUAUAUAUAUAUACAUACAUACAAAAUAAAAGAAAUAGAGAAACAAAAAUACUUUGUAUGUUAAAAUUUAAGCUUUAUUAUGAUAUUCCUGGAUUACGAUAUUUUUGAUAACUCAAUUUCUAAAAUAUUUUAAUAUUUAAAUAUCACAAAAUAAAUAUUUCAAAAUUUAUAUCAAAAAUAUUUAACAAAUACAUUAAAGUUAUCAAUAA